Molecule: unclassified non-coding RNA, 570 nt
Filed under: uncultured fungus
Lineage: Eukaryota; Fungi
Description: partial contains 18S rRNA, ITS1, 5.8S rRNA, ITS2 and 28S RNA
Source: RNAcentral
AAGGGGGUUAGAAGAAAAGGACAGUCCCGUUACCGGGGUAAUUGGCAACCCACAAAAACGCGUUCUAGGGGAGCGUAGUUUGACUCACUUCCCUUGGCCCCGGGGGGGCCCUGGUCGCCCAAGGGGCCCUUUUCCAAACCAAAAGGGAAGGCCUUGGGAAACCGAAUAAAAAUUUUAAAAGGAUUUUUGGUUGGAAGUUAAAAAGACCAAACCAAAGUAAGGAUUCAAAUUCAGGAACAAUGAACCUUGAACCCCCUUGGCCCUUGGCAUUCCGAGGGCACACCGGUUGAGGGUCGGAAAUUUAAAAACCUUUCUUUUAUGAAAGGGUUUUGGACUUGGAGGCUUUUUGCUGGCUUCACCUCGAAGCGAGCUCCUCCUAAAUGAAUUAGUGGGGUCUGCUUUGCCGAUCCUUGACGUGAUAAGAUGUUACUACGUCUCGGGUUCGGCGAUGGCGCCCGCUUCUAAUCGUCUCAUUGACAAUGAUGGCGUCCGGUCACCACCGUUUCAUCGGCGGGAGGCUUACCCACCAAAAACGCCUCGACCACAAGAGGGGGAGGAUAUCCGCUAGCA